This is a long non-coding RNA of Pseudophryne corroboree (corroboree frog), 365 nucleotides long. RefSeq lists it as uncharacterized. The record is from RefSeq and is a predicted model, not a curated record. The transcript is spliced from 2 exons. Lineage: Eukaryota; Metazoa; Chordata; Amphibia; Anura; Myobatrachidae.
CAGUAUCUGAAUCCAGGCUGCUGGUUAUGCUGAUUCGUCAUGCUCUGGAUCCUAAAAUGUAGAGAUCAACAAAAGUGGAAGAAAGGAAGAGGAAAACAACUACAGACCACGGUUCCCAUGGCAAUGCUGGCCGGAUGACGUCACUUCCAGUUUUGCGGAUGUCCAGCGACCGGAAGUGCCCUGCACAAGGAUUCUGGCUUGCAGUAGCCAUGAAAAAAAAUGCUGGGAAGGGUCAUAAGGGGAGUAAGUCACGCUUAUGUGUUUUACUAUAUACAGUAUAUGUGCACUGUUUUGAUGAGUGUUAUGUCCUGAGGAAGGGGCAGCAUCCCUGAAACGUUGGCAGAAUAAACACGUUUAUGUGGUGA